UUUUCAGGGAGACCAGGUGAAACAAUCAGACCCAAAUAGAUAACUGAUUGAUAUAACCAAUCCCAGGUCGUUCAAGGAAGAAGUAGAUUGGCUUUCAAACUGAUUUUGGUUCGGGAAAUGGGCUAUUAGCUCAGGUGGUUAGAGCGCACCCCUGAUAAGGGUGAGGUCCCUGGUUCGAGUCCAGGAUGGCCCACCUGUUCCAUUCAGGAAGAGGGGGUAUAGCUCAGCUGGUAGAGCGCUGCCUUUGCAAGGCAGAUGUCAGCGGUUCGAGUCCGCUUACCUCCAUACUUCCCAGUUGAGUUAGGAGCGGCGCAAGAAACAAAUAGCCAAGCCAAAAGCGAACCGAAAGGAAAAAAAAGCAUUCAGCACCUGUACUUUUUAAUUGAAAAAGUCAGACUGCUGAACGUGAAGUUCAGUCAGAACCUUGAAAACUGCAUAGCGAGAGAAAAAGUCAAUUUAGUAAGAACAAUGCCAAAAAAAAGGCGUUUGUGUCUUACACAGACAAAAGUAUAGAU
RNAcentral lists this transfer RNA (515 nucleotides) under Coleofasciculus chthonoplastes 'Bretagne'. Its description in RNAcentral is "16S-23S ribosomal RNA intergenic spacer". The stretch from base 213 to 285 matches the Rfam family "tRNA". RNAcentral also lists the same sequence under 1 other name. The record is from RNAcentral. Lineage: Bacteria; Bacillati; Cyanobacteriota; Cyanophyceae; Coleofasciculales; Coleofasciculaceae.